UAGAAGUAAUAGAAGGGCGACUUUUUUUGUUUCGCCUUCGUUGAUCAAUUAUUUUAAAAUAAAAGCAAAACAAAAGAAUUUAACUCCAGAUCCAGAGAAACUCCAGUGCUCACCCAGAAAACUAUUCGUAAGAAUCCCAAAAUUAAAAAACAAAUUCCAGAAUCCCAAAAUGACGGCAAUGAAAUUUAAUUUCCUUAUCUUCAGCUUUCUCUCUCCCUAAAUCUUCAAUUUGGAAGCUCUUUUCUCCCCUAAAUCUCUAAUUUAGCUUUCUCUCUCCCACUCCAUCUUUAAUUUUGCUGGUCAUUAACCCUAAUUUUAUACGUUUUGGUUUGCGAAAUUCGUCUGAAAUUGGUAGAUUCGCCUGAAAUUCGUCUGAAGUUCGCCUGAAAUUCGUCUGAAGUUCCCCUGAAGUUAGUCUGGAGAAAGUACAAUGAAUCCGGAGACUCAAUCAUCGUUAUCGCAAUUAGAAUGUAACAACAGUAAUCACCUUGUAGAGUCUACCACUCAACAACCAAAGAAAAAAAAAUACAAGGUCCCUUUCGAGGUCCACGCAGAGCACUUAAAUAUAAAAAGUUGAGAAGUGUGCAAUCAGGAAAGGUCAAAGUUCGUAUUCCAGCAGCUUUGGGAGCUAUUGUGGGCGAUCGUGCAAAUCAAUUUGUGGCCGAAUGUGCUGAUUGGGUGAAAGAAAUAUGCCCUCUUAAUGUUACAAGUUGGAAUGACAUGCCUGAAGAAGCAAUAGAUCGAUUGUAUAGUAGGAUUAAGGUAUGGCUUACUAAUUCAAGGCUGCUACCAGUACUUUGAUUAUUCUCUCCUUACGCUUUGUCUGGUGUGUGAAAAGCUAGAAAUACAUGGAGAUCUUGACAAUGUCUAGUGGCAACAGAACAACAGAAAAUUAUGUAUACAUCAUAAAUGAAUUGAUGGUGACAAGCUUAAACUAUACUUACGACUGUUUAUCUAAGGAAUGUCAGGAACAUGUCACUAUAAACCUACAGUGUUCGUGGUAUGAAAAGCAGAUGAAGAAGUCAGCUGAGGAGCUAUGAAGAAAACAAGUCAAAAGCUUAUGGAAUGAUUAAAUCGAGAAUCAAGGAAUGUGAAGCUUAGGAAGUCUUAUAAACUCGAAAGGUAUAAGACCAGUGUAGUUCAGAUAUUGCUUAGUAUGGGAACAGAGUAUUUCGUAAAGGUCAAGUUAAGAUUUAUUUAGAUAAAGUCUUAUCUUAAAUCAAAAGUCAUUCGGUUUUGUUUUUCAAAGGAUAACGUCGAGUUUAAACUGAAUUUACUAUCCUACUUGAGGUUAUACUCUUAAAGAAUUUGAGUUGCUCUACAACUCUUGAAAUCGUAGAAGAUUGAUUUUUACCAAAACGCGUUUUAAUGACUUAUUUGUAAAAAUCUAUCUUUUGAAAGAGUCCUAAUUAGUGUUGAAUUAGAAUCAAAGGUUUCUAGGUUAAACACUUAGAAUCAUAUAAAUAAACCUCAAGUUCUUCACGAAAGUUUUAUCAGACUGAUUAGCAUUAAUUUGGGGCUUUCAGGUAUCGCCUUAAAGUCCUAAUUUUUAAGAGUUUGUUCCUGUUCCCAUAUAGAGCAGUAUUUGUUACUUGGUUUUAUAUCUUGCGUUUGUUUUAGUCAAUACCUAAUCUUUACGAUUAAAGUGUUGAGUUAUUGUAUGAUAAGCCUGAGUCAGGCUUACUUGAGCAAGAGAGAAGAUCUCACGAGAGAUCUAUGAGGUGAAGCAGUUGAGGGACUGUUUCCAUAAGGGGAGGAACAACAAGGGGUUGUUCCUAGUUAUCUGUAAUCAGAGGCGAUUCACAGAUUGUGGCCCGAGUAGAUUAGGUUUGUAAAAACUGGGUUGUUUUGCCUAAUUAGUGAAUGUGUUUAAGUCCCCAAAGGGGCCGUGGUUUUUUUUCUCUCUAUUGGGCCUAGAGAGUUUUCCACGCUAAAUCUUGCUUGCAUAUUUUACUGUUUCUGUUCCUAAUCGUUUAAUUUUUAUAAAACCGUAAAAUAUCAAUUCACCCCCCCUCUUGAGGAACUCUGUGAAACUAACAAUUGGUAUCAGAGCCAGAACCCUUUAACUGCAGGUAACUCUGACGGGAGAAACGAUUCUAGAAUUAUGAACACUACGGAGAAACUGGAAGAGGGGUACUCAACACAACGACCUCCAAUGUUUAGUGGCAAAUACUACUCUUAUUGGAGAAACAAGAUGGAGAUUUUCAUCAAGGCUGAAAACUAUCAAGUAUAGAGAGUUAUCGAAAUAGGAGACUUCCAAGUCACUAAGCUGAAUACCUCUGGGGAAACUGUUCCCAAGCCGAUUGCAGAAUUUGACAAAGCUGACUAUGAAUAGCUUGAACUCAAUGCCAUGGCUGUCAAAAUUCUACAUUGUGGACUAGGUCCAAACGAGCACAAUAGAGUAAUGGGCUGCAAGAAUGCGAAACAGAUUUGGGAUCUGCUCCAAGUCACCCAUGAAGGAACAAACAAAGUCAAGAGAUCAAAGAUUGAUCUCUUAAUCCACCAGUAUGAGUUGUUCACCAUGAAAUCUUCUGAAACAAUUCAAGACAUGAUUACUCGCUUCACAAGCAUCAUCAAUGAAUUGAAUUCCCUUGGAAAAAUCAUAACUCCCGAGGAACAAGUUAGAAAGGUUCUAAGAAGUCUUCCACUGGAUCCUUGGAUGGCCAAGGUCACUGCACUUCAGGAAACUAAAGACUUCACCAAGUUUAACCUGGAACAACUGGCUGGAUCUCUCUUAACCCAUGAAUUACAAUUGAAUGCAAGACCCUCAGAGAAUACCAAAAAUAGAGCCCUUGCUCUAAAAACUGAAAAUGAUGAAAACUCUGAAGAAGACGAGGAGACAACCCUAUUUUCUAGAAGAUUCAGAAGAAUGUUCAGAAACUACAAAGAAGGAGACCACAGAAGCAAACUAAAUCGAAAAUUCUCCAAAACUGACACUGGAUGCCAUAAGUGUGGGAACCUGGAACAUCGCAUUAGGGAAUUUCUCUCUGGGAACAAGAACGAGGAAAAGGAAAGGAAACAGGAAUAGAUAGAUUCAAAGACAACAAGAACUCCUUCUCCAAAACUGAGGUAAGGAAAGCCAUGAUUGCUGCAUGGGGAGACUCUUCUUCAGAUGAGGAACAGGAACAACUGUAGACACCUACUUUUGUCCCCAUUCCCGCAAGGGAAAGGUUCGAUGAUGAAAGCAUAAAAACUCCACUUGACAACGCAUCUCCUAUAAAAUAAACGAAUCUCGAUUCCCCAUUUCAUUUUACCCGAAACCUGCUAUUUAUGGAAACCUGCUAAAAAUAGCAACUGCCGUAAAAGGUAGCUUCUAAAAGUGGCAAAUCAUAAAAGAUAGAAACCUGUCAGAAUUAGGUGUUGCACUCCAACAUAAAUCCUAAAUGAGAUAGAAAACCGCGAGAAUCCUAUUCCUAAUAGGAUUCGGAAAUAAGAGUUACGUAUUAAUUAAAAUCCUAACAAACCUAGAGUUCGUAAUGGGCCCAGACGCAUUCUGUCACAAAAUUGAUACGCGCUAAAAGACUCGAAUUAAUCUCAAACUCUACGGAUUUUAGGAAUCCGAAUCUGACUAAACAAAACUGCCCAGACCCUAUUUUCAACGCCUGGCUCUGGGCGCCGAAAUCUUCGGCGCCCAGGCCUGGGCGCUGAAAAUACCUGGGUACGUCUCUUUUCCUAAUUCUUUAUGGAUUAGAACUCUGCAAUUCUAUCUUUUCACGAACUCUUCCCUAUAAAUAGGCCCCUAGUUUCGACGUGAAACAACACACAACAACACAUAAUAUAUUCCGAGUAUUGACUCAAAACCCCUUAGCCUAAGCCUCUCGCUGCGAAACUGUUCACGCGUUCUGUCGCAAUCGAUCCAUAAAUCGAACAGAACGUAUCCUGUCCCAUAAUCGAGAUUCGUUAAAUAAAAAGGAGAAAUAGCAAAGUCAAAGUGGUUAGUUUUCUGAGAACCGUGACGCACCUCUCAAGGGUGCGUCGUAAUGUGUCCCUUUUCGAUGAUUUAACCGCUUUCCUCACCCUUUUUAUGAACUGUUAAACUAACCUAAUAUGAUUGUUCUAUCACGCCUAACAAAUAUAAUAUCUUUGGGAAAUCGGAUUAUCAUGCUAGAUCCCUUAAUGUUAUUUAAAUCAGAUAAUCACGAUCGAAUUAGUAUUAUAUGUUGCAUAUUGCUAAAAUCAACUCAGAUUAGUUUAAUAGUUAACGCAUGUCCCUUCAAUUAUUUAUGCUGAGCUAGUAAGGAUAUCCUGCCUCUGGAGUUAUCGACGAGCGAAUUACUCCUCUCGGUAGUUACAGUCCCCCGAACCCUCAAUCUCUACCUUGCGGGUGUAUAUUGAGAGAUCCCCACACCAAGGAUCACAAGGGAACCUACGACCAUCGUGGUCAAACAUAAUUGCACUCCCUUUAUGUCGCGAUAACCGGGUUUUGUCAGUUUUUCUCAUUGUCGUUAAAAACUGAAUGGCGACUCCUAUAUUACUAGUCAAUUGGGUGUAUACUCACAGGAAAUCCAAUUACACUUGAUUGAAUAAAAAGAAUCGUCACACCCACGAGGGACAAGGUCACGCAUUAGCCUCGCGCUUUUUCGACCCCCUCACAGUGGCGACUCCGCUGGGGAUAGUGAAGGAAAUACUCGUGCCUGUAGGUAAUCAAAAUAGCUGAAGGGUGAAACGAUCCUACCCCGCGUUUAUUUCCCCAUCAAGUUGGGACGACCUGAAAAUCAGCAUAUUAAUGUGAACGGGCAGAACAUCAUAACGAAUCUCGGCUCCCUCGGGAGUUGGGACUAAGGAUACCUUUUUUCGCCAAUAGGGGGGGUGCAUACGCCGCGCAUGUUUCCACUCGGUACUUGUGCAGGUAGUACACCUAUCCCGAACCCAAUCGCUCGCCCAUUAGGUCCCUCUCGCCUGCAUGCCCCCUUGGCUUGCACUUGCGGUUUUGGCCUCUUGAGCGAAAUUCGUCUGUUGAAGACACUACCUCGACCGGGGCAUGUGUUGGAUCUACGAUAGAAGCGGUACCAAGCCAGGCACAAAUAUUACCCAUAGAAGCCUAUCAUAAACUACGUGGCAUAUUUAAUUUUCAAAUCCAUGUUUGUAAUGUAGUUAUGUGUAGCGAAAAUGUGCUUGUGUGUGACAAACUAUCCUAGAAAACCAACGACCUUAAAAACUGCCCAAACAUUCAUAGACUAAUUUGCCAAAGAGUUAUACCGAAAUACGUGUUCCGCAAACCCGAAUGAUCGCCACAAAAUAAGCGACGCUCGGGAUGGCCUGUAACGAAUCCCACAAACGCUGUUACGCGUAAAGGACGAUUAUUAGGCAAACACGCAAAUCGAAGUCGCAUAAACAGAAAACAGAAAACGAGAACCGGCCAGGGACGCAUUUUCAACGCCCCUGGCUGGGCGCCAAAAUUUCUCACGCCCACUGCUGGGCGCUUAAGUUGUUGCUUGGCUUUCUGGUCAGGCGCUGCAGCUUCGGUGCCCAAGCAAAAAGAAAGUACGUAGCACAAAAAAAAUGUUCAUCAAAAAGAAUUGCUACGAGGGCGUAAGAAAAGCACUUGAUUUCAAAAGGCGACUCGCGAAAAAUUAAUAACUCUUUGUGUCGUCGUUAGGCCUCCUACGACGGCAAUGCUCAGCACCAAAACCGAACAUGCUAACAACUAUGAAUGUCACACAGACAAGUGUUUCGAAAAUCCAAAGAAUGACCAAAAUAGAAAAAAAAAACUCCCAAAAAGUGUACCGACAGAAGAAAGAGCGAAAAAGUGAAAAACCAAUUUAGAGAGUCGAAGUCUAGACUAAGUAAUGCUUGAAACUUUGGGAACCUAAACUUUAGCUUAUCUUAUGCCUAGGACCGGUCCUGCCACUUGGUGCUGAUCAGGGAAUCAACGGCUAGUGCGUCUCGAAGAUACAUCACCAACAUCAGGUUUAGUAACUCCAAGCUCCGUCCGUCGUCCCUCAUUUCAAGGAUCUCCGCUUCCCCAACCUCGAUUCGCACCUCCAAACAUGUCCAUCGAAGAUUUGCGAGACCAGAUGGUCCAAAUGACCCAACUCAUGGGCCAACUGAAAAUGGAAAAUGAAGCCUUAGCGGCUGCGCAAGCCAAAAAUGACCUCGAAAACGAGAAGAGGAUUGAAAAAAUGGUCCUACAGCAAACCAUGGGGAGAAAAUACUUCUCCCUCGAGCCUGAACCUUUUUCCGGCAAAUUACCAGAAAAGUUCAGUUCAUCUGACUUACCAAAGUUCAAGGCCACGGAUAACCCCCGUGAUCAUCUAUUGAGCUUUGUGAAUACCAUGAACUUGAAAGGCGUGGACAAGUCCAUGUACCUACCUGUCUUUCCUUUGUCCUUGGAACCUGUGCCGCUCAAAUGGUACUAUCACACGGACCCUAAGCUCUUCCCCACUUAGGAAGACUUUGUCAAUGUCUUCAUCAAGCAAUACUCGUCGAACAUAGAUUUCCAAGUCACCAUGCGCGAGCUGGAAGUUCUCUUCCAAAAGAAAAAUGAGGGUUUCACAACCUACUUUGCUAGAUGGAGGGACCAGGCGGCCCAGCUAAUCAAUAGGCCUCCCGAAACAGAAUUGGUCCAAAAAUUCAUUGGCAACUUGGACCCGGCUUACAGACAACACCUUAGGUACCUGGGACUCGACACUUUCAAAAGGGUUUAUGAUGUGGGAAUAAAAAUCGAGGACGACCUCGCCAAAACCAUACAGAGCAAACCUGCAUAUAAGACCAACACCUAUAAUCGGGGUAACACACCCCAAGCCCAAGAAGUCCAUGCUGUAGAAGAGGCUCCCGCCCGAAGAUACCCUGUAAGAUGGGUCCGAGACCGAAAGUUUGCCCCACUCGGGUCAACUUUGGUACAAGCCUUUGAAAGACUAACCAAUCAAGGAAAGUUGAGACCUAUAGGCCCCACCCGUGACCCUCCUGUCAAAAACAAAUAUUGGGUCGAAGGUACUUACUGCAAAUUCCAUCAAGGAAAUGGGCAUGACACUGAAAACUGCUGGAAUCUAAAACAUACGAUCCAGGACAUGAUAGAGGAUGAAGUAAUACCUCUCCCUAACGUUGGCAAACCCAACAACAACAAGAGCCCACUCGGCUCUUGUCACAUCUCUCUCGACCAACCAGAGAAUUUCGACCCCACGGUGUAUAUUACACCUCAAGGUGCAUCACUCGCUGUGGUACCUAUGGAUCGAAUCGAGAGGGAAGUGUGCGGUGUGUGGAACGAUGAUGCUGAAGAUAUUUACCUAUCUCAAGUCUCGGGCCAGGACCUCUUCACUGAAACUUGGCCCGGGUAUGCUCUCAUUGACACCACCCCUCAGGAGCCCGAGGUCGACAACCUCACCCGAUCCGGAAGGAUAUACCAACCGGAUAUUCACCCACCUCCUAUGGACGACAUCCCGGUUAGGCAAACUCCUGAGAACGGGCGGCACGCCACCGUCGCAGAAGUCAUUGAAAAUCCUCUCCUGAAACAACUAAAAAGAACCAAGGCUGAGAUUACCAUCUGGGAUCUUAUGUGUACUUCAAAGGAACAUCGCGAAAAGCUUAUUCGCUCACUUGACCUCAUCUCAGUACCCACAGAUAUCACACCUGACUCAUUGGUUAGCCAUGUCACGAGAGAUGCCGGAGAAAAGCCAUAGUUUUCACUGAUAAAGACUUACCCAAAGAGGGAGGUGCUCACAAUAAAGCCCUUUACUUAGUGGUUGGAUGCAAAGGACAAACAUCCCCCUAGCACUCGUAGAUAAUGGUUCGGCGGUUAAUGUCUGCCCAUUGCGAACCGCCCAUUGCUUUCCAAACCUCCUCACAAGGGGUACGAGCUUAUGAUAACUCCCGAAGGCCCGUAUUGGGAAAAAUCAACCUUACCAUACAAACCGGGCCUGUGGCACGCACCACGGAGUUUCAGAUUAUCGACAUCAAGCCCACUUUCAACCUCCUCUUGGGGCGACCUUGGCUCCAUGACUUAGGAGGUGUGGCUUCGACCUUGCACCAAAUGGUUAAAGUUAACCAUAACGGGGUAAUACUGGAAAUCCGCGCCCCUCCUCUCGACGUCAGUUGUACUAUGGUUGGAACGGCCGAAACUGCAGAUGACCUUUAUGGGUUUCAAAUGGAAGAAGCAAUGCAGUUCAUAGAAGAUUAUGAUCCAGCAUUCCUAGACCCGCAUGCAUCCCGAGCCAUCCCUAGAAUGAUGUUGGCUCAAGGUUAUUUCCCAGGAACCCCAUUGGGCAUAAGGAAGAAAGAAUGCACAUUCCAUCCUUUUCCCGACAAAUCUACUCCCUUUGGCUUAGGUUAUGAAGCAACGGAGGAAGAUAUUGCUGACCGCCUAUCUAGGCUACGCCUUAACAAAGCCAAACAAACCACCCUCCUUCCCCCAUAUCAAAGGACCCUUAACGGGAUGUUUGUUCGGGAAGGAGAAGAACACCCAUGCUGUGAUUUACCUGAACCCUUCGUUCAGGAUGGCUUGCUAAAACCCGGAUUUGAAAUUUUCCAUGACUGCCACACCUUGGAUGAGGCACCCCACCUCACCAAGACUAAAACAGCUGAAAUAUUGGACAACCAGGCUCUAUGGACAUUGUUUAACGAAUCGAGGCCUAUGGAGAACGAGACCGUGAUGACUACCCUAGCUUUACAAGAUGAAGGUUUCGAUCCAACCCGGUUAAUCUCCCCUGCAUCAACACUAGAAGAGGUCGGGAACGGAUGGGUGAAGACAUAUCAGUGGGUCAACGCAAAAGGAAUGGAAUUCAAGAUGAGUACCGGUGAAGGACCAAAGUUUUAUGAGACUAAACCCCAGGCUUGAGCCACAUAGAGCACCAUUAGUAAAAAGCGUCUAGUAGUUCUUUAGAUUGAUAGAAAAAUAAUAGAGACUUUAGAUGGUCUUAAGGCCCUUUAGAAUAUGGGUCAGUUUUAUUUCAUUGUGUUUUCCUUACUUUCCAAAUCAAUAAAGGCGUAAUAUUUCUCCUAAUUUUUUUAUUCUAACACUAAAUAAACACCAAAUGUACUUGCAAAAUAAAAAAUAAAGAAGCGGCCCACUAUAGGCCCAACAAACAAAGCCCACUCGGUUUUGAAAUAAUGCCAUGUGAACCAGUUCUCGAAACCCACAAAAUAAACCACACUAUCCCAUCUUCAAAACCUAAAAAGCCAACCAAUGUCAUCAUGAGAGCCAAUCCAUGCAACCCAAAAUCAAAAAGAAAUCAAAAAUUUAAAACAAAUGCAAAUGUUACCAAAAAAAUAAAUUCAUAAAACAUAGAAUCCACCGACAGCUGUUUCACAUAGAUUCCAUCACACCCUCCACAAAGAUCUUCAUAAGUUCCGCACCCUAACUCCAUUUUCAAAACUGUUUUGAGUCACUAAUAGAAAAAAUUAAUCUGGACAAAAAUGCGUUUCACGCUAACAGUCAAAAAAGCCUCCAAAAUAGCCUCAAAAUUAACUUUAACUACAAAGCAAAAUAUCAAGACACAAAAAACGAAAUAGAAAUAAACGCAAGAACAUGUGAAGCAAAAACGUCAAAAUUGACCGCCCAAGUUAUUUUCAGCGCCCAGGGCUGGGCGCCGAAAUUUCUGACGCCCCAGCCUGGGCGUUGAAACUCUCUGCCUGCCAAAAGUUUUCCUUUUUCUGAAAAGUGCUCGUCAUUUUAUCCGCACACAACGGAAAAAUAACGAACACUUGGGGGGUACAGUACGUAUCCAAAUAGGUUUACCAACAAAUUGGUCGAAUUUUACGCAACCUAUGGAAAACGGCCGAUGAAAAUAAUGGCAAACACUUCACUCAUUUGACCGAUUAAAUAAUAUGUUUCCACUUUGGGACAUAUCUACCGAAAUUCGGCAUACGAGAACUUAUUCUAAAGCUAAGAACUACGCGCGACCUGAUUCUGACAAGAUACGUAGGCAAUCCUUACCAAGGAUUCGGUCCAAAUAAUAAUAAAAAAUUAUAUUCUUUGUGUAAAAAAGUGUUAGAUAUAUAAACAAAAUUGAAUGGAAACUAAAAAUACGCCUUUAUUAAAAUAUAAUAAGAAGGAAAACAAAGUGCUAGGAAUAAAAACAAACACAACUGAAAUAAAUAGAGGGCACCUACACCCUAGCAAAGAACUACACUACUCUAGUUCUUCCGGAUCAUCAAAUAAAGUCUUGAAGAGAGCAAUGUUCGCAGGAUCCACCCCCAUAGUCUUCUGCGCUGCCCCAAUAUCAAUCUCCAUAAGAACUGACUCCUGGACACUAACUUCCAAAGAUGCCAAAGCUUUAGAAACAUUCUCAGUUAUAGCCCGCUCAGCCUCAAGGGCACAAACAGUGGUGGGAGAAGGAUUACUAUCAUCAACUGGACUAGCCACUGUUUCUACAGGCGGCUGAGCCUUCCUAACCCAUACAUUGUUCCGGCGACGAUCUCCGCGUGAUCUUGCAUUUCUUUUAACAACAGCAGGCCCCUUCAUGUUAGGCAUCUUUUUAGGCCUGACACUGGAACGGGGAAGAACUUCCUUUCGCUUUCGAUCAGGACGAGCUUUCACAGUCUUAAAACUAUAGGUACGAGGUCUGGCGGAAUCAGGACCCUCAUACUUAACACGAAUACGAGGUAUCAAAAGCUCACCCGGCUCCCCAUUACGAGCCUCGGUCCUCACAUCCUUGUCAUCGAAACUCAUCCACAAUUUAUAGUUUUCAGAAAGACCCACAAACCCAUUGGUAGCUACAGCCCAACGCGGGAGACCAUCAUAAUACCUAGCCCACGCUAAGACCCGUGUUUGUGCAAAGGUCGCUACCUUAGGUGGUACCGUAUCAGAAAAAGGGAUAGUCUGCCUUAAACCAUAUUGACGCAUGACUCGGUAAGGGAAAAUAUAAAUGGGACAAGACGGCCCCAACAAAGAAACAUAAACCGAUACAUCAGACCCCCCUGUCAUAGUAGUCAAACCCCACCAUGGUACCACCCACUUAAUAGAACAAAUGCCAUAAGUAAAAAAGGAGGUCCAUUCGGCCUCGUCCUGGCCUUGGUGCAAGUAUUUUCGGUUACCCAAAGCUAUAGGGCGAUAAUGUUUAGGAUCGGCAGGAGCUUCCAAAAGUCUAAGCCGUUGCGCGAGCCAAAUCUGCAAAAACAGGUACGAUCGAAUCAUGUUCCUGGGGCGCAGUUUCAACGCCCUGGACCAGGCGCCGAAUAUUCCAGCGCCCAGCCCUGGGCGCUGAAACUCAGCCCCAGGCAAAAAAAUAUAUAAAAGUGGCGUAUGUGUGCGCAAAGAAAAAAAAUAGAUUACCUGCAGUAAUAGGGGGCUUCCCUUAAAAGUUUCGGAUUUGGCAUCCUUCUUCAGCUCAUCCGCACUCAGCAAAGUCUCAGCAACAACCAACGACAUAAUAGAAUAGCAACUUUCCAUCUGGCUAAUCAAGGGGAUCAGCCUUAUGUCACCGAACUCACCAUUAUUAUUCGACAGCAAAUAAUGAUUCAACAAGCAAAAUACAAGGGCUCGAAUGUUCAAUUUUUGUUCGGUCAUAUUCUUACUAGGCCUAAAAUGAUGUUUUACGAGUUUUGCCAAGUUAACCUUAUCGUCUACAACAAGUUCAGCAAACAUGUUAUCAUGUAGCCCUAGGAAAGCCCUUAUGGUUGUUUUACCCUCUUCAAUAGUGCCAGGGGUAACAGGAGUAGCAUUAGUAGGAUAACCAAGGAUCGCAGCAAAUUCAUCAGGCAAAGGACAUAUUUCAUUGCCCCGAAAGGAAAAAACAUGAUGAUCGGAGUCCCAAAAGUUUAGGGCAGCAUGUAGAAAAUUAUAAUCAAUAUUAAUUUGUUGUAAGCCUAAAAGUGCCUCUAAGUGGUAUUCUUUUAACAAAGCUUUUUCUGUGGGAGUAAGGGCUCGUAGCCAACGCCUAACAGUCCGUUGGAGUGAGAAAGUAGGGAUCGACAUGGCAAAAGUAGUAAAUAAUCAGAGCACAGCAAAAAAGAGAGAAAGAAUUUGAGAGUGGUGGAAAAUAAGGACGUACCUAGCCCCCUAUAUAUAGCUGAACGCACCCAAUAAACAUCCUGAUCCCAUUCGGAAACGUGUUUAGAAAUCCGAAAAUCAAAUAUUACCAGGAAAGAACUUUCAGCGCCCACCUCUGGUCACCGAAAUUUUUAACGCCUGAGCUGGGGCACUGAAAAUGCAGCCCAAGGCCCAGAUUUCACAAAAACACGGAAUAGGAAAGGACUUAAGACCGUGUUGCUAAAACACGAGGCCCUAUUACAAGUAAGAUCAAGCCCAAAGCACCUUUAGCUCCCAAAUAAGCAAAAAAUAAUAAUAACAUUGAAACUUGGUCGAAACUUAGACUCAUCUCAGAAAACGCUCAUGUACACUUUUCAAAAGCAAGUUAAAUAUCAUGGUCAUUCUUCGAAACACCAAAAAUAUGUGUCGUCAAGUCAUUGGUUUUCCAAAUAGAAAAUGUCUGUCUGUCAAAGGGAUAAUCCGGGCCAAGCCAAAACCGGAUGUCGCCUGAAAGCUAGAGUCGCACUCCACGGCUUCAAUAAAAUAGCACACUACUAUAGGAGGUCGCUCGCACAUACGAGCGUGACCCCAAACAUGAUUACAAGACGCGAAAAACAACCGACGAGCCCCAACACUUGGGGUCUCGCGAAAAGUGGACUCCAACAAAGAGCACGCAAUCAAAAACACAUUCCCAGACUGCGCCACGCACCAGAUCAUGUUUGGAUAUCUAAAAAAAUAUAUUGUGUGGACCCACUUAUAGGACACAUCUAAUCAGGAAAUAUUACGACCCACCAACAAGUUGUAAUCACAAAAGCCCUUCUACAUAGGCAAAAUAAGAAAUUAAAAAUGGGCUCGCCCAUUUUCGGCCGGCGGGGUCUACGGCGCAAACCACAUAGGUCCUUAUUUUCAAAAAAACAAACAAAAUAAAAUUUCAAAACAGAUUCGUCCACUUCUAUCGGACGGGGGGUCCACCCUCAGCGGACAGGCUCGCCAUCUUCAGCCGGCGGGGUAUACGUCACAAACCGCGUAGGUCCUUAUUUUCAAAAACAUCAAAACAGAUUCGUCCACUUCUAUCGGACAGGGGGUCCACCCUCAGCGGACAGGCUCGCCCACCUUCAGCGGGCGGGGUCUGCGUCACUAACAGCGCAGGUCCUUAGUCGCUGCAGCGAUAACUUUUAUCGGUUUUCCCUUUUUCCGAAAAUCAAAGGAUCGGUUUUCCCUUUUUCCGAAAAUCAAAGGAUCGGUUUUCCCUUUUUCCGAAAAUCAAAGGAUCGGUUUUCCCUUUUUCCGAAAAUUAAAGGAUCGGUUUUCCCUUUUUCCGAAAAUUAAAGGAUUGGUUUUCCCUUUUUCCAAAAAUUAAAGGAUUGGUUUUUCGUUUUUCCUAAAAAGAACGAUUGCUGGAUUUUCCUUCGUUUUACGUCCUAUAAAAACAAGGGGGUUUUCUCGUUUAGCUAGCCCAGAAAAUGAGAAUCUUUAAAAACGUUUUACCUCGUGAUUGGGCUUGGCCAGGCCCAAUUACACUUUACAGCUUUAAUUUCGAAAACAUUUGUAGCUACUCCCAAUGACAAAGUGAGGGAGUUUCUACGCACCUUUAGAUUCUUCCAAUGACAAAGUGAGGAAGUUUUUAUACUAUCAGUUGACAAAUCCCAAUGACACGUGAGGGAUAUGUCGACACUUCAAGUGAUGACCCUUAAGUCAAAUGUUAUCCCUCGGGGGCUCGUGAGACCCUCGCAAAACAGGUCACAUACACCAUGGCUUGUGUGACGCACUCCGUCUAAUAAUUUGACCAUCGUCUUACUCCAAGACUCAGUCAAAGUGGGGGCUAACUGUAGACACCUACUUUUGUCCCCAUUCCCGCAAGGGAAAGGUUCGAUGAUGAAAGCAUAAAAACUCCACUUGACAACGCAUCUCCUAUAAAAUAAACGAAUAUCGAUUCCCCAUUUCAUUUUACCCGAAACCUGCUAUUUAUGGAAACCUGCUAAAAAUAGCAACUGCCGUAAAAGGUAGCUUCUAAAAGUGGCAAAUCAUAAAAGAUAGAAACCUGUCAGAAUUAGGUGUUGCACUCCAACAUAAAUCCUAAAUGAGAUAGAAAACCGCGAGAAUCCUAUUCCUAAUAGGAUUCGGAAAUAAGAGUUACGUAUUAAUUAAAAUCCUAACGAACCUAGAGUUCGUAAUGGGCCCAGACGCAUUCCGUCACAAAAUUGAUAUGCGCUAAAAGACUCGAAUUAAUCUCAAACUCUACGGAUUUUAGGAAUCCGAAUCUGACUAAACAAAACUGCCCAGACCCUAUUUUCAACGCCUGGCUCUGGGCGCUGAAAAUACCUGGGUACGUCUCUUUUCCUAAUUCUUUAUGGAUUAGAACUCUGCAAUUCUAUCUUUCCACGAACUCUUCCCUAUAAAUAGGCCCUAGUUUCGACGUGAAACAACACACAACAACACAUAAUAUAUUCUGAGUAUUGAUUCAAAACCCCUUAGCCUAAGCCUCUCGCUGCGAAACUGUUCACGCGUUCUAUCGCAAUCGAUCCAUAAAUCGAACAGAACGUAUCCUGUCCCAUAAUCGAGAUUCGUUAAAUAAAAAGGAGAAAUAGCAAAGUCAAAGUGGUUAGUUUCACUACUACAAAAUAGGGAAUAGAAAACGCCAAAUAGAGAACAGUUAAGUAUGCUAAACGUUUUAUAGGAGUAUAGAGAACGCAUUUUUCUCAUAACAGUUGUACGAAGAAAAGAAUAGAGAACUGUUACCUUACUUAACCGCCUUAUAUUCUUUACCAUGACAAAAAAAAAUUAAUUAAAUUAAAAUACUCAGUAAAAUAUAAAGUUGUGUUUAACAUAACUGUUUUGUAUUCUUUUACGUACAAAACUAUCUUACAAUAAAAAAAAACUUUAAUUUAAAACUUUUUUUUUAUUGAGUAAAACAUUAUUUUGCAAAUAAUUAUCCUUGAUCACUUAACAAAAUUAAACAAUUUUUUAAAGAACUACGGAGUAUAUUUUACCAAGGUAGGCGGCAAUUGAAUUCUAAAAUUUAGAGAGUUGCGCCAGAUCCAAAAAGUGUUCCAAAACCCUUAACAUUCUAUACUGAAACCAUUGUACUCACGCAAAAACUCCCGAAAAAACCCACAGAAGCAGUUAGACAUCCACCACCGUCGCUACACAUCUGCACCACCGCUCCAUUGCGCCGUCCGCCUUCUGUCUACUUCCGACCUUCGCUGAGCGCUGGCUUCCCAAUUCUGAGGUUAGUGUGGUUAAUUUUGGUUUUUCAUAAUAUUAAUUCAACUAAUAACCUAGGAUUAUGAAUUAAAGAAUUAUAGCUUGUUAAUUGCAAAAAUAAAAGAGUAAGUAAUUCUUUUGGUCGAAUUAUAGUCGAAUUGCUUGAUGAAUUGCUGUAGAAUUGCUUGAUGAUUUCUUGACGAAUUGCUUGAUGAAUUGCUGUAGAAUUGCUUGACGAAUUGCAUGACGAAUUUCUGUAUAUUUGUUGUCGAAUUGCUUGAUGAAUUGUUGAAGAAUUGCUUUAAGCCUGUGGAGAAAGAUGAUUUAUCCGCCCUGGUAAUAUAAAGGUUAAUGGAUUGAAAAUACAGAAACAAGAAACACAUAUUGAUGAGCCCGCUUUUUGAAGUUGUAAUUAUUGCUGGUAGUGAUCGAUUAACUUGGAAAAAUCACGAAAUACAUCUUCAUUUUUAACAUCCUUCAACCUUACCACUCAACAAAAGGAAAGAAGCUUCUUCUAGAUUACAUAUUAUAGAGUAAACCAUGUUAUUUGCCUGAUCACGAAACAACGAAUAUGUCAUCAGUACUCAAGCAAAUUCAAUGUAAUAAUCCACCGGUAGGACAGAUGAAACAUAAAUUUAUGAUUAGAAUUAGAGAAAAGGGAAGAGCAAAGAAACAUUGUAUCAGAUCUCUAAUUCAAGAGAUAUGUAGAUAAAUGGAAAUAGAAUAACCAUUGCUAGAAGACUGAAUUAAAUCUACCUAUAAUCAAGUUUGGGAGUACUGAGGUUGAAAUCAAAAUAAAAAACGAACAAGGAAAAAUCUGUAAAACAAGAGAGAUUAACUUAAUGAGGCAGAAGAAAUAAAAGAGAGAAAGCAGUUAGAUGAUCCUAACCCAAAGUGGAGUAGAUGUGGGCGGCGGCUAGUGGGGGUAGGUUAUCUAGGGUAUACUCCAUUUUUUACAUAAGAUGGUGAAAAUUUUAAUUCAAAAGGUAUUGUAUGAAAAUGUAGUAGAGGGCGGGAAUAUUUAGCUAAAACAUACGAAACGGUUGGCAUGUUCACCGUUAUAUAUUCUUAUUAUAUUUAUUAACUUAAUUAUUUUUUAUUAUGGUAAAAACCAACAAAGCGCCUAUCUAAGAAGGACGCUCUGUAUUGUCUCACUCACAUAACUGUUGUGAGCGACAACCGUUCUAUAUAAUUCUAUAAAGCGCUUAAUAUAUUUAGCCGUUCUAUAUCUAGCGUUACAUAUUCUUAUUUUUGUAGUAGUGCUAUAAUAUUUCCUUAUAUCGCUUUUGAAUUUUAUACUAAACAGAAUCAGAAAAGAACCCUAGUUAAGUAAUCUGGUCCAACUCUCGAAUGAAGGUGCAACUUUUAAGAUUGGCGAACUAAUAUACAUCUUCAUUUUUAAACUGCUUGAUUCAAUGUUGCAUGCACAUGUAAAACAUGAUAGUCAGGCCUUGGAGGUGAUUCUAGCCCUCAUGAGGGAUGCAAGUUCUGCUGACUGUUUCUGCUACUGUGAGUGUCAUCUUUCUCAUAUUCCUCAUGAUCUAUUACCUUUAAGCCAGAGUCAUCUUGCCCAUCCCCUGCACCCUCUACCAUAUUUUGUUUUUCUACAGGCUCAACCUUUGGCUGAUCAUCGGCUGGUUCUAGUUCGCCAGUGAUGGUCGAUUAUUUCACUCUUUCUGCUGCAGGUUCCUAUAUUCAGAUGCUAAUGUUCCUUGGAAAGAACUGUCUAGUACUUUCAAGCAACCUGUCCAGACAACACAGACAAUAGAGAAAAGGAAGAGCUUUUGGUUUCACUCAAAGGUGUUCGGAAAGAAAACAAGAGCAGCUUGACGUUAUUAAUCUCCACUAGUGCCUUUAGGUCAACAAAUCUAAAUCUCACAAAUUCACUACAAAUUGUCAAAUUACAUGCCUUUCUUCUUUCAUUCUUUCUCUACUUAUACUACUGUCUAGUAUAAUGUUUUAAUGACUAUUUGUGUUGUAAUAGUAACGGCUCGUGUGCACUCCUUGCCACCUACUGCUCUUGUUGUUUCUUUGUUGUUUGUUGGUGGUCUGCCCCUGCUGUCAGCCUUUGGGCCUCUCUUGGGUCGCCUACGAUACACAAUGGGGUCAUAACACUAUUGUUGUCAUUAUCCCAAUCGUUGGGUCUAUCACUUAUCAUAGUCAUAAUAGCUACAUUAUUCAUUUUACAGAGGAAGAAGCAGAAAAAGUCUGCUACAAACCUUAACAAGGAAGAAAUUGAAACACUCCAGUCCUUACAGUAUAAUCUUGGAACCGUCAAGGUUGCAACAAACGGUUUUUCUGAUGACAAUUAUCUCAGAGAAGGUAGAUUCGGCACAGUUUAUAAGCACUGUCAAGAUGGAUGUUUACUGCUUCGAAGGAGAUUAAAAAAGAAAGGGGCGUUAACCCAACUGACCUUGAGGAGAAUCUUGCUCAGGUAUAUUCUGAAAAUUGUAUUGUCAACUGAGAAUUAAUUGUUGGAAAAGCUGUGAAUGCACUUUUUUGUUCUUCUGUGUAGUCAAUAUUUGACCUUGAGACCAACAACAAGGAUAUGGGAACUGAAUUGAAGGAUCUGUUUAUCAACUCUGUUGCUGAGGUUGACAUUUCGAACAACAAGAAGGCUAUUGUUGUCCAUGUUCCAUACAGAUUGAGAAAAGCUAUAGCAAGGAAUUGCGGUGAAGAGGCUAUCAAGGAAUUCAGUUCAGGGAGACGUACUUACAGUUCAAAAAUGAAAUUCUGAUAUUAGCUAAGAUUCAGCACAGAAAUGUGGUGAAAAAAAAGGAUUCUGCUUGGAAGAAGAAGAAAUGCUUCUGAUUUAUGAGUUUGUGAUCAAUAAAGCCUUGACAAUUUUCUGUUUGGUACGUAGCAUUCCUGUAAAUACCAAAGGAAGAGAAAAAAGAAAGAAAUUAAGGCAUUAUGUAAAUAUUUAAAUUUUUUUUCCCUUUCCAUAUUAUAAACGCAUAGGAGUAUCUUGUAAAACAUACAUUGCUUUUAAAUAUAUUUAAUUUUUAGUAUUAUAUAA
Molecule: RNA transcript, 18128 nt
Organism: Spinacia oleracea (spinach)
Lineage: Eukaryota; Viridiplantae; Streptophyta; Magnoliopsida; Caryophyllales; Amaranthaceae
Gene name: cysteine-rich receptor-like protein kinase 27
Exons: 6
Source: RefSeq, a predicted model, not a curated record